RNAcentral lists this long non-coding RNA (1184 nucleotides) under Citrus maxima (pomelo). RNAcentral describes it as "long non-coding RNA (CMAX_LNC000756)". The record is from RNAcentral. Lineage: Eukaryota; Viridiplantae; Streptophyta; Magnoliopsida; Sapindales; Rutaceae.
AAAAUGAAAGGAAAAAAAAUGCUACUAGAAUCAUGUAGGGAUGGCAACUUAACCUUGAUUCAGACAAACCCGGAUAAUUCGGUACGAGUUUAACCCAUAUUGGAUUAAAAUAAAUCCGAUAUCUAGAUGUAAUUUUGCUGACCUGGAUACAUCUGGGUUCGGUUCUAGGUUUGGGUGAACCCAUAGAUCCGAAACCCGGACUCGGAUAUCUUAUUUUAAAAUUAGUUUUUUUAAUUAUUUUUAAUAUAAAUACAAAGAUUAAAAAAGAAAUUCUAAGUGCCCUAGUUUCACAGAUCACAGCCGUAGCCCCUAAACAUUUCAUUUCUUUUCAACUCCUCCUCAUCAAAUUAAAUCACCAUGCUUUGCCAAUCCCUACCUUCACAACUCUAUUCAUCAUCAUCAUCAUCAGUCGCCAUUUGUCCGGCUGUGAUACAGUUGAAAACGCGACCUUCAUCAUCAUCGGCAGCAUCGUUUGAAAACAAACCGAAACGGCGAGAUAUCCGGUUGAAAACAACACCGACAACGAGAUAUCCAGUUGAAAAUAGCAGCAUCGGCCGAAAACAUCCUUUUCGUCAUCAUCAGGGCAUGCGUUUUGCUUUGCCUUUUUCAUCUUUUUCUGCCUUUUUUUCCUCUGACAUGGCAGUAAAAUGAGAUCUUCAAAUGCAUGACAGCUCCCAUAAUUUCUCCCUCGUUUUGAUUUAUUUCCUCUGCUUUUAAUAUUUUUCUUGCAAAUGAAUAUUAUUCUUAUUGAUGAUUAUUGUAUUUGUGGAUGCUUUAUUGCUUAGAAACAUCGAAAUUUAAUUUAUAUCUUUUUUUUCAUUUUAUUAGAAUCCAGAUUUAUUUGUAUUUUAAUUUUUUUUACUUAAUUCACUAAUCCGGGUUCAAAAUUCGAAAUCCAGAAACCCAGUUUUUUUUCGAGUUAAACCUGACCAGACUCGGAUGGAAAAAGUUUGGGUUUAAAUCCGGAUCCGGCAAAAGAAAAUCAUAUCCAAAUCCGAAACCGGGAUGGCUGAACCUAGACUCGGAUCUUGUCAUCCCUAGAGUCAUGUACAUGAAAGAAAAGAAAAAAAAUGGAGAAGUAAGGAUAAGAAAAAAAACAAAUAAAGGGAAAAGAUGAAGGAGUAAUGAUGAGAAAAAAAUGAAAGAGAAAAACAAAGAAAAAGAUAAAGAUGGUAUGGCUUUUU